Molecule: non-coding RNA, 791 nt
Filed under: Artena dotata
Lineage: Eukaryota; Metazoa; Arthropoda; Insecta; Lepidoptera; Erebidae
Source: RNAcentral
UAAAAAUUUUUGUAGUUUAAAAAAUUUAUUUAAAGUUUAUUUUACAUAUAAAUUUUAGUGUUAAUAUUAAUUUAUUUUAAUAAUAAAUUUUAUUUUUUUAUUUAGUAAUUAAUAUUAAAAUAUUUAAGAAAUUAAUAUUUAGUAAUAUUUAAAUUAAUAACUAAUUUUGUGCCAGCAGUUGCGGUUAAACAAAGAUUAAGUUAAAUUUUAUUAGUUAAGUUAAUUAAUAUUAAUAAAAUAAAAUAAUUUAAAUUUAAGAUUAUUAGGUGAAAUUUUAAUUUUAUAAAAAAUUAUUUAAAAUAUAUGAUUUAAUAAAUUUAUUUAAAAACUAGGAUUAGAUACCCUAUUAUUAAAAUUUUAAAUUAAUAAAUACUAAAAUAGUAGGUAAUUAUUUAUUGAAACUUAAACAAUUUGGCGGUAUUUUAGUUCAUUUAGAGGAAUCUGUUUAAUAAUUGAUAAUCCACGAAUAAAUUUACUUAAUUUAUAAUUUUGUAUAUCGUUGUUAAAAAAAUAUUUUUAGAUAAAAGUAAUAUUUUAAAAUUAAAAAUAAAAUUAAAUCAGAUCAAGAUGCAGAUUAUAAUUAAGAAUAUAAUGGAUUACAAUAAAUUUAUUUAAAUGAAUUUUAAUUUGAAAAAAUUAAUUGAAAUUGGAUUUAAAUGUAAUUUUAUUUAGUUUAAUAAAAUGAUUAAAAAUUGAAAUAUGUACAUAUUGCCCGUCGCUUUCAUAUAAAUAAAUAAAAUUGAAAUAAGUCGUAACAAAGUAGAGGUACUGGAAAGUGUUUCUAGAAAGAC